GAUGAACGCUGGCGGCGUGCCUAAUACAUGCAAGUCGAGCGAACAGAUAAGGAGCUUGCUCCUUUGACGUUAGCGGCGGACGGGUGAGUAACACGUGGGUAACCUACCUAUAAGACUGGGAUAACUUCGGGAAACCGGAGCUAAUACCGGAUAACAUUUGGAACCGCAUGGUUCUAAAGUGAAAGAUGGUUUUGCUAUCACUUAUAGAUGGACCCGCGCCGUAUUAGCUAGUUGGUAAGGUAACGGCUUACCAAGGCAACGAUACGUAGCCGACCUGAGAGGGGGACCGGCCCCACGGGAACGGAGCACCGGUCCAAACCCCUCGGGGAGGCAGAAGUGGGGAACUUUCCGCAAGGGGCGAAAGCCUGAGGGAGCAACGCCGGGGGAGGGAUGAAGGGUUUGGGCUCGUAAAACUCUGUUAUUAGGGAAAAAAAAACGUUUAAGUAACUGUGCAGGUUUUGACGGUACCAAAUCAAAAAGCCCCGGCUAACUACGU
Molecule: ribosomal RNA, 496 nt
Filed under: uncultured bacterium
Lineage: Bacteria
Description: partial 16S ribosomal RNA
Rfam family: Bacterial small subunit ribosomal RNA
Source: RNAcentral